GGAAGGAUCAUUGCCAAAACAAAAAAAAAAAAAACUUUGAAGAGAAAGAGGAAAAAGAAUGUUGGGGAGAGAGAGUGAAACAUGAUUUCAUUCAAUCUCUUUUUCUUCUCUUUCUUCUUCUCUCUUUGAAAUUCCCCAAACUUGUGUGCACUCUAAAAAUUUGAUGGAGGACUUUGUACCCUUGUACCCUCUCAAAAGGGGGGGGAGAGAUGAUAGAUGAUACUAUAAGAUGGAUAAAAAAUGAUGCUAUUUUGGGAGAAGGAGAAGCUCUAUAUAUAGUAAUAUAUUAAAAGUGGAGUCUUUUUCUAUAUAUAGUAACCAUUUCUAUCUUGUUAUAUGUGUAUAUAUCUUUUCUCUCUCUUUGGAAAGGACUUUGUAUUCCUUCAAAUUUUUUGUUUUUUAUAACAAACACCUUUUUGUCUUCAUUUAUUUUUUAUAGUUAUAUAACUGUAGGUAAUGAUACAGUUGUUUGUUGAUUUCUUUUUCUUUUUCUUUCAUGGUGUGUAUCUUGUGUUCUCCUUUCUCUUAUCUUUUUCUUUCUCUCGAUUGUUUUGAGACGAAGACAGUUGAGAAAAAGAUGUAGAUGAAAACAAAAGAGAAAAAGAAAAAGAUUCUACUCUAUGAAUAAAAAUGGAAAAAGAUGAUUGAUACACAGUCAUCACCCUAUGCAAAAAUUACAUUUAUACAACUUUUAACAAUGGAUCUCUUGGCUCUCGCAACGAUGAAGAACGCAGCGAAAUGCGAUACGUCAUGUGAAUUGCAUAACGUGAAUCAUUGAAUUUUCGAACGCAAAUGGCACCUUUGAUUUUAAUCGGAGGUAUGCCUGUUUGAGUAUCCGUUUUCUACCUGUCAAAAACCAUCAUCAAAAGGAAAAAAAAACAAGAUUUGACUCUAUUAUGUUAUGUAAUGGGGUUUUCUUGAAAUUUCUUUUGAUGUUUGGUCUUUUGGAGUUGAGUACUUCACAACAUUGUCUUUUUUAGAUUUUUUGUGGUACUUUGAUUAAAGAAUAGUUUAUUCUUUUUAAGAAAAUCAGUUAUCAAGAAAUUCAAAAGAAAUUUUCUCUUGGGAAGUUUUGUUGACUCUUUCUUUUUCUCGCUUUUCCUCCAUAUCACGGAGAAAAGCACCUUACUGAAAAAAAGCAGCUCCUUAAAAAGCAAAGGAAAAAAACCUAAUCAAUUUUUACUUUCCUUAAGUGUGGUGACGUGGGUAACACGAUAUUCACUUUGGAAAGAAGAUUAGGAUAAUGACACUUUGUGGAGUCAAGUUGCCAUGUGACACUAUAAAGAAGAAGAAGGACAGAAUGUCUGUCCUCUGAAAACUGUACAUGUCAUGUGACAAGGUCAAUUUAACUUUUUUUUUUCCUAUAAGAGAAAAAGUCAAACUUUCUUUUUUGAAUUCUCUUGGAUUCUCUUAAUUAUGUGAUAAAAGAAAAAAAAAAACAACUAUUAUAAGCGAGUUUUUGCUAAAAUGGGAAAAUGUGUGUGUUGAAAAACUCUCUUUAUGGGGGUUUAUAACCGCACACAUCUCAUAAAAAAAAAAAAAAGCAAAAAAUCUAUAUAUUAAAUUAUGUUAUCUCAUGGGAUCUCAAAUCAGGCAAGACUACCCGCUGAACUUAAGCAUAUUACUAAGCGGAGGAAAAGAAACUAACAAGGAUUCCCUCAGUAGCGGCGAGUGAAGUGGGAAAAGCUCAAAUUUAAAAUCUUUAAAUUUUCUUAAAAGGAUUUAAAGAGUUGUAAUCUAGAGAAGAUAGAAUCCUGUCAACCCAUUCGAGUAGAAGUUCUUUGGAACAAGACAUCGUAGAGGGUGAGAAUCCCGUCUGUGACUCGAAUGACCUAAUUAAAAAGAGUUGACUUUAUGGUGAUCUAUCUUCAAAGAGUCGGGUUGCUUGGGAAUGCAGCCCAAAAUGGGUGGUAAAUUUCAUCUAAAGCUAAAUAAUGGCGAGAGACCGAUAGCGAACAAGUACCGUGAGGGAAAGAUGAAAAGAACUUUGAAGAGAGAGUUAAAAGUACGUGAAAUUGUUAAAAGGGAAGCGAUUGAAACCAGUGCUGUGUCACUUGAAACAUCAAUGAAGUCAUGUUUAAUUGACGCUUAAGGAUUUCUUUAAUGAACUAUGAGUCUCAUAGGCAUUCUGAAGAAUUCUCAAACUUAUCAUGGCGGACAUCUUCAUGCACUGUUUUAAGGUUUUGUAAAAGAAUUUAGACAGGUCAACCUCAGUUUCUUUUUAUGGGAAAACUAUUUUAAGAAAGGUAACUUUGACUUUUUUAAAGUUAAAGAACUUAUAGUCUUUAAAUUGAAAUACUAUGAAAGAGACUGAUCCCCAAAUUAUGAAAUCAAAAGAAGUUCGAUUUUAACGUUCUAAUUUUGGAUUUGACGUUGUGGACAUUGCUUAUCCUUCGGGAUCAUGACCCAUGAUUAAAUCCUUAGUACACGAUUAAAGUUUUUUAUGAGUCAUUUGAUUUUCUCCAAGUGUUGACAAAAUGGUUUUAACCGACCCGUCUUGAAACACGGACCAAGGAGUCUAACAUUUAUGCGAGUAGUCGAGUGAUCAAACUCGAAUGCGUAAUGAAAGUGAACGUGGGUGGGAUCUUUUCAAAAGGAACGGGUAAACCGAGAAUUUGAAAGUGCACCAUCGACCGAUCGGAAUAUUUUGCAAAAAAUUGAACGAAUCGAGUUAGAGCAUAACUGUUGGGACCCGAAAGAUGGUGAACUAUGCCUGAGUAGGGUGAAGCCAGAGGAAACUCUGGUGGAGGCUCGUAGCGAUACUGACGUGCAAAUCGUUCGUCAAACUUGGGUAUAGGGGCGAAAGACUAAUCGAACCAUCUAGUAGCUGGUUCCCUC
RNAcentral lists this unclassified non-coding RNA (2838 nucleotides) under uncultured fungus. Its description in RNAcentral is "sequence contains 18S rRNA gene, ITS1, 5.8S rRNA gene, ITS2, 28S rRNA gene". The stretch from base 1580 to 2838 matches the Rfam family "Eukaryotic large subunit ribosomal RNA", at positions 1 to 961 of the family's 3401-position model. The record is from RNAcentral. Lineage: Eukaryota; Fungi.